Molecule: ribosomal RNA, 406 nt
Filed under: uncultured bacterium
Lineage: Bacteria
Description: partial 16S ribosomal RNA
Rfam family: Bacterial small subunit ribosomal RNA
Source: RNAcentral
AUUGAACGCUGGCGGCAGGCCUAACACAUGCAAGUCGAACGAGCUGCGGCCGGGUGAGUAAUGUCUGGGAAUCUGCCUGAUGGAGGGGGAUAACUACUGGAAACGGUAGCUAAUACCGCAUACCAUCAGAUGUACCCAUAUGGGAUUAGCUUGUUGGUGGGGUAACGGCUCACCUAGGCGACGAUCCCUAGCUGGUCUGAGAGGAUGACCAGCCACACUGGGACUGAGACACGGUCCAGACUCCUACGGGAGGCAGCAGUGGGGAAUAUUGCACAAUGGGCGCAAGCCUGAUGCAGCCAUGCCGCGUGUAUGAAGAAGGCCUUCGGGUUGUAAAGUACUUUCAGCGGGGAGGCGUUACCCGCAGAAGAAGCACCGGCUAACUCCGUGCCAGCAGCCGCGGUAAUUC